This 126-nucleotide small RNA is filed under the name Marmota monax (woodchuck). Lineage: Eukaryota; Metazoa; Chordata; Mammalia; Rodentia; Sciuridae. The record is from RNAcentral.
GCUGGGUGUGAUGGCCAUGCCUGUAAUCUCAGUGGCUUGGGAGGCUGAGGCAGGAGGAUCUCGAGUUCAAAGCCAGCCCCAGCAAUUUAGUGAGGCCCUAAGCAAUUUAGUGAGACCCUGUCUCAA